Molecule: transfer RNA, 69 nt
Filed under: Bos taurus (domestic cattle)
Lineage: Eukaryota; Metazoa; Chordata; Mammalia; Artiodactyla; Bovidae
Also listed under: 1 other name
Rfam family: tRNA
About the family: Transfer RNA (tRNA) molecules are approximately 80 nucleotides in length. Their secondary structure includes four short double-helical elements and three loops (D, anti-codon, and T loops). Further hydrogen bonds mediate the characteristic L-shaped molecular structure. tRNAs have two regions of fundamental functional importance: the anti-codon, which is responsible for specific mRNA codon recognition, and the 3' end, to which the tRNAs corresponding amino acid is attached (by aminoacyl-tRNA synthetases). tRNAs cope with the degeneracy of the genetic code in two manners: having more than one tRNA (with a specific anti-codon) for a particular amino acid; and 'wobble' base-pairing, i.e. permitting non-standard base-pairing at the 3rd anti-codon position.
Source: Rfam by way of RNAcentral
CCUGGUAGCUCAGAAGUUAAAGCUUCUGCCUCCAAUGCAGGAAACCUGGGUUCGAUUCCUGGGUCAGGA